UACGGAGGAUCCAAGCGUUAUCCGGAAUCAUUGGGUUUAAAGGGUCCGUAGGCGGUCUAGUAAGUCAGUGGUGAAAGCCCAUCGCUCAACGGUGGAACGGCCAUUGAUACUGCUAGACUUGAAUUAUUAGGAAGUAACUAGAAUAUGUAGUGUAGCGGUGAAAUGCUUAGAGAUUACAUGGAAUACCAAUUGCGAAGGCAGGUUACUACUAAUGGAUUGACGCUGAUGGACGAAAGCGUGGGGAGCGAACAGG
Molecule: ribosomal RNA, 253 nt
Filed under: uncultured bacterium
Lineage: Bacteria
Description: partial 16S ribosomal RNA
Rfam family: Bacterial small subunit ribosomal RNA
Source: RNAcentral